RNAcentral lists this long non-coding RNA (354 nucleotides) under Mytilus galloprovincialis (Mediterranean mussel). Lineage: Eukaryota; Metazoa; Mollusca; Bivalvia; Mytilida; Mytilidae. The record is from RNAcentral.
AUGGUGUGACGUCAACGUGGGUCAUUUGCAUAGGUAGGUCAGUAGUCUCAUUCUUUGAAAAUGUGGCAGUCAAAUGAUGCAUUUAAUGAAAUGAAUGUAAACGAUCGGCAUAAUAGGACAAAAUCGUUAAUGAAUUAAAUAUUUAAUUACAGACAUCAUGAAUAAUGUACAGAAUUCAAUAUUUGACAAGGAGCAAGCAUGAGCUAACCAUUGAAAUAAGGAAAACUUGCGUGAAGUUUCCCGGGAUAAUGGUUAGCAACGUCCGGGGAUAUGGGUUAGCAACACCCAGGGGCUAUGGGUUUUGUAACGACAUGCGUUAACCAAUCAAAAUCCUAGAUAUAUACUAAGCCGGGG